AAAAAGGUAGAGAAAUAUUUAAAAUGGAAACAAAAGAAAAUAAAUAAGUAAAUAAAUAAAAGAUAGAUAAAUAAAUAAUGAAAAUAAAAUAAAAAAAUAAAAGAUAGAAUAAUAAAAAUAAAAUAAUAAGUAAAUAAAUUAAAAUUAAAAAAAAAGAGGUGUGGAGGUGCUUAAAUAAGAGAAGGGGNGUCUAACCUAUUUUUUUUAUAAACAGAUUGGGCCUAAGCCCAGAGGAAAAGGGGUGAGAUUUAGCAGAAAUGAGGGUGCGCAAGGGAAAAGGGUUUUUUAGCUAGAUUGGACUUGAGCCCAAAGGAAGCGGGGGCGUGAGAGCUAAAGCAGGGGGUGCGAAAAGGGUUUUUUUGUUGUUGCUUUCUUUUACUUGGCCCAAACAGAAAAUCAAAAUGAAGGGGGGCUGUGAAUACGAAAAAUGGGGGUGCAAAGGGGAAAGGUUUUUUUGAAAAGGCCCAGCGUUGGCCCAAGGCUUGGCUGCCUAACUCAGAAAAUAGGGUUCUCAUUCCCCAUCUCAUUUCACACUCAUAUUCCAAAUGCCAGAGCUAGGUUUUCUCGAGAGGGAGAGAACCAUGGAGGUUUCGUGUCC
Molecule: long non-coding RNA, 598 nt
Filed under: Vigna radiata
Lineage: Eukaryota; Viridiplantae; Streptophyta; Magnoliopsida; Fabales; Fabaceae
Description: long non-coding RNA (VRAD_LNC004814)
Source: RNAcentral